RNAcentral lists this ribosomal RNA (253 nucleotides) under uncultured bacterium. RNAcentral's name for it is "partial 16S ribosomal RNA". It matches the Rfam family "Bacterial small subunit ribosomal RNA", at positions 524 to 776 of the family's 1533-position model. The record is from RNAcentral.
GACGUAGGGUGCGAGCGUUGUCCGGAUUUAUUGGGCGUAAAGAGCUCGUAGGCGGCUCGUCGCGUCGACCGUGAAAACCCGCGGCUUAACUGCGGGCUUGCGGUUGAUACGGGCGGGCUAGAGUUCGGUAGGGGAGACUGGAAUUCCUGGUGUAGCGGUGAAAUGCGCAGAUAUCAGGGGGAACACCGGUGGCGAAGGCGGGUCUCUGGGCCGAUACUGACGCUGAGGAGCGAAAGCGUGGGGAGCGAACAGG